UACGAAGGGGGCUAGCGUUGUUCGGAAUCACUGGGCGUAAAGCGCGUGUAGGCGGCUUUGCAAGUCGGAUGUGAAAGCCCACGGCUCAACCGUGGAAGUGCAUCCGAAACUGCAUGGCUUGAGUCUCGGAGAGGAAGGUGGAAUGCUUGGUGUAGAGGUGAAAUUCGUAGAUAUCAAGCAGAACACCUGCGGCGAAGGCGGCCUUCUGGACGAUGACUGACGCUGAGACGCGAAAGCGUGGGGAGCAAACAGG
This 253-nucleotide ribosomal RNA is filed under the name uncultured bacterium. Its description in RNAcentral is "partial 16S ribosomal RNA". It matches the Rfam family "Bacterial small subunit ribosomal RNA", at positions 524 to 776 of the family's 1533-position model. The record is from RNAcentral.